CCCUUAGAUGUCCUGGGCUGCACGCGCGCUACACUGAUGUGUCCAGUAAGCACCUAACCUCUUCCGAAAGGAACGGGUAACCUUUGCAAAGCACAUCGUGAUGGGGAUAGAUUAUUGCAAUUAUUAAUCUUCAACGAGGAAUGCCUAGUAAGCGCAAGUCAUCAGCUUGCGUUGAUUACGUCCCUGCCCUUUGUACACACCGCCCGUCGCUCCUACCGAUUGAAUGGUCCGGUGAAGCGUUUGGACUAUGGUUUUCUGAUGGUCCGCCGUUGGAUUACCGUGGGAAGUUCGUUAAACCUUAUCAUUUAGAGGAAGGAGAAGUCGUAACA
RNAcentral lists this ribosomal RNA (329 nucleotides) under uncultured eukaryote. RNAcentral describes it as "partial 18S ribosomal RNA". It matches the Rfam family "Eukaryotic small subunit ribosomal RNA", at positions 1470 to 1796 of the family's 1831-position model. The record is from RNAcentral.